GACGAACGCUGGCGGCGUGCUUAACACAUGCAAGUCGAACGGAAAGGCCCUGCUUUUGUGGGGUGCUCGAGUGGCGAACGGGUGAGUAACACGUGAGUAACCUGCCCUUGACUUUGGGAUAACUUCAGGAAACUGGGGCUAAUACCGGAUAGGAGCUCCUGCUGCAUGGUGGGGGUUGGAAAGUUUCGGCGGUUGGGGAUGGACUCGCGGCUUAUCAGCUUGUUGGUGGGGUAGUGGCUUACCAAGGCUUUGACGGGUAGCCGGCCUGAGAGGGUGACCGGCCACAAUGGGACUGAGAUACGGCCCAGACUCCUACGGGAGGCAGCAGUGGGGAAUAUUGCACAAUGGGCGGAAGCCUGAUGCAGCAACGCCGCGGGCGGGAUGACGGCCUUCGGGUUGUAAACCGCUUUCGCCUGUGACGAAGCGUGAGUGACGGUAAUGGGUAAAGAAGCACCGGCUAACUACGUG
Molecule: ribosomal RNA, 468 nt
Filed under: uncultured bacterium
Lineage: Bacteria
Description: partial 16S ribosomal RNA
Rfam family: Bacterial small subunit ribosomal RNA
Source: RNAcentral